GACGAACGCUGGCGGCGUGCUUAACACAUGCAAGUCGAACGGUGAAGCGCCUUCCUUUUUGGUGGGUGUGGAUGAGUGGCGAACGGGUGAGUAACACGUGAGUAACCUGCCCCCUUCUUCUGGAUAACCGCAUGAAAGUGUGGCUAAUACGGGAUAUUCUGGGUCUGUCGCAUGAUGGGUCUGGGAAAGAUAUUGUUUCGGUGGGGGAUGGGCUCGCGGCCUAUCAGCUUGUUGGUGGGGUGAUGGCCUACCAAGGCGGCGACGGGUAGCCGGCCUGAGAGGGUCGGCGGUCACACUAGGAAGGAGACGCGGCCAAGACUCAUGCGGGAGGCAGCAGUGGGGAUUAUUGCACAAUGGGCGGAAGGCUGAUGCAGCGGCGCCGCAUGAGGGAUGGAGGCCUUCGGGUUGUGAACCUCUUUCGCCAGUGAAGCAGGGCUGACGCGUCUGUGGGUGGGUUGACGGUAGCUGAAUAGAAAGCGCCGGCUAACUACGUG
Molecule: ribosomal RNA, 494 nt
Filed under: uncultured bacterium
Lineage: Bacteria
Description: partial 16S ribosomal RNA
Rfam family: Bacterial small subunit ribosomal RNA
Source: RNAcentral